Molecule: ribosomal RNA, 459 nt
Filed under: uncultured bacterium
Lineage: Bacteria
Description: partial 16S ribosomal RNA
Rfam family: Bacterial small subunit ribosomal RNA
Source: RNAcentral
CCUACGGUGGGCAGCAGUGAGGAAUAUUGGUCAAUGGGCGAGAGCCUGAACCAGCCAAGUCGCGUGAAGGAUGAAGGAUCUAUGGUUUGUAAACUUCUUUUAUAUGGGAAUAAAGUGAGGAACGUGUUCCUUUUUGUAUGUACCAUAUGAAUAAGCAUCGGCUAACUCCGUGCCAGCAGCCGCGGUAAUACGGAGGAUGCGAGCGUUAUCCGGAUUUAUUGGGUUUAAAGGGUGCGCAGGCGGUCUGUUAAGUCAGCGGUCAAAGCCCGGGGCUCAACCCCGGCCCGCCGUUGAAACUGGCAGUCUCGAGUUGGAGAGAAGUAUGCGGAAUGCGCGGUGUAGCGGUGAAAUGCAUAGAGAUCGCGCAGAACUCCGAUUGCGAAGGCAGCAUGCCGGCUCCACACUGACGCUGAGGCACGAAAGCGUGGGUAUCGAACAGGAUUAGAUACCCGGGUAGUC